AAAAGAUAGUUUAAAAAAAACACUGGCUUUGGAUUCCAGUAAUAGAUGACAAUCUUCUUUUGA
RNAcentral lists this transfer RNA (63 nucleotides) under Acanthosaura capra. RNAcentral describes it as "tRNA-Pro". The record is from RNAcentral. Lineage: Eukaryota; Metazoa; Chordata; Lepidosauria; Squamata; Agamidae.